Hibiscus syriacus is the source of this 1336-nucleotide long non-coding RNA. RefSeq lists it as uncharacterized. The transcript has 5 exons. The record is from RefSeq and is a predicted model, not a curated record. NCBI's taxonomy places the organism in Eukaryota, Viridiplantae, Streptophyta, Magnoliopsida, Malvales, Malvaceae.
UUUACAUCCAAUCCAAAAUCCAACAAAGUCCCACAAUCAACUUUAACUCCUAAAUCGUAUCAAACCAUUCCCAAGUCAUAUGCCCUACCCUAAUCCCUCAAUAGUCAUGACAAAUUCCCCACCAUCAACUGUUCCUUUUCCCCAAGGAUCGAACUCUGAAAAUUGAGAUCCCAAAAUGCUGUAAUCGUUCCGAGCGAAUUGAGAAGAUUUCCGAGAAUUCCCAAAUUCCCAAUUCUUUCGCACCCAAACCCUAGCUGCUCAUUUUCUCCUUCCAUAGCCACGACAAUACCCCUCGUUGUAGCUGAGCCUUGUCCCCGAGGCUCAAAAUUGUAAAACUGAAAUUUAAGAACCAAAAAAUCAUCCCACGUAGCGUUCUCGAUACCAAGGUGAGACCACUGAAUCCAUCGGUGUCACCACUCGAUUGUGUCGCUGAAUGACACGUUUAGCCAAAACGAUUGCUGUGUACACUCUGAGAUGUCCGUCGUCUCCUAACUCUGGUGGAUGAACUGAGGGUUUAUAAAACCAAGCCGAGAGCUUCAAAUUCCUCCUCAACGCCACCGUAAACUGUCUGUAGGGCUGGACCUUAAGUCACUUGUACUGGUUUUUUGCCAUCCAAUUUACUGUUGACACUUUUGGAUUGUUUGUUCACUGCUCGUGGGGGAAGGUUCCUCUUCUUUUGCUGCCUUGGUCAUCAAGGCCAAGAUUCUUUGUACAAUUCCAUGCGUUUCCUCUGUGCGAGACUCUAGUGCAUCCAGUCUUUUGUCCAAAGGUUGAGUGGUUGUCGACUGAUUGCCAUCACCACUCUUGAUGUGUAUUUUCUUGAUUUCUAAUGCUUGCUAAUGGAUCAAGAUUAGCUCUAUAUACCAAUUAUAAUGAUUCGAAGAAGAAAAGAUUACAAAAGAGAGAAGAAAGGUAAGAUCCAAAGCAACAAAAGCAAUGUCAUCAAUAAAGGGGGGACACGUUGUCCUGCACGUGGAGGUGAAGGGAAUUUUAGUAAUUUACCCUAAGAUUUAGAUUGUUUCCAAGAUGGUCAACGCCAUUGGCCGACUCAACAACAACAGGUCUUGGUCGAGUGGCGUGGUGUGUCCGGACCCUGACCCUGACCAUGGCUCGAGAGGGCCGAACCAAACAAUUACAUACCUUUCAAGCAAUGCUGAUUCUGGGUUUCACCAAUUUGUAUUCUUCUGCAUUGGCAAACAAAUGAACAAGAAACUUUUCCCAUUGUUCUUCACAAUGAUUGAAGUUUUGAAAAAACCUCAAUCUAUUGAACACUGCAGGGUUUCGGUUCAUUCAAUUAAUUAAUCAUAAGGAGAAAAAAACAUGAAUUUUUUUUUGU